GAAAUAGACUAUCUGUCUGGCAGGUU
RNAcentral lists this non-coding RNA (26 nucleotides) under Homo sapiens (human). The record is from RNAcentral. Lineage: Eukaryota; Metazoa; Chordata; Mammalia; Primates; Hominidae.